Molecule: ribosomal RNA, 532 nt
Filed under: uncultured Azospira sp.
Lineage: Bacteria; Pseudomonadati; Pseudomonadota; Betaproteobacteria; Rhodocyclales; Rhodocyclaceae
Description: bacterial SSU rRNA
Rfam family: Bacterial small subunit ribosomal RNA
Source: RNAcentral
UCCUGGCUCAGAUUGAACGCUGGCGGCAUGCCUUACACAUGCAAGUCGAACGGCAGCACGGGAGCUUGCUCCUGGUGGCGAGUGGCGAACGGGUGAGUAAUACAUCGGAACGUACCCAGGAGUGGGGGAUAACGUAGCGAAAGUUACGCUAAUACCGCAUAUUCUGUGAGCAGGAAAGCGGGGGAUCGCAAGACCUCGCGCUCUUGGAGCGGCCGAUGUCGGAUUAGCUAGUUGGUGAGGUAAAAGCUCACCAAGGCGACGAUCCGUAGCAGGUCUGAGAGGAUGAUCUGCCACACUGGGACUGAGACACGGCCCAGACUCCUACGGGAGGCAGCAGUGGGGAAUUUUGGACAAUGGGGGCAACCCUGAUCCAGCCAUGCCGCGUGAGUGAAGAAGGCCUUCGGGUUGUAAAGCUCUUUCGGCGGGGAAGAAAUGGCAACGGCUAAUAUCCGUUGUUAAUGACGGUACCCGCAUAAGAAGCACCGGCUAACUACGUGCCAGCAGCCGCGGUAAUACGUAGGGUGCGAGCGUU